CCCUAAAAACCUAAACAACUCCCAA
This 25-nucleotide ribosomal RNA is filed under the name Trichinella nativa. RNAcentral describes it as "partial large subunit ribosomal RNA". Lineage: Eukaryota; Metazoa; Nematoda; Enoplea; Trichinellida; Trichinellidae. The record is from RNAcentral.